UGGGGAAUAUUGCACAAUGGGGGAAACCCUGAUGCAGCAAUGCCGCGUGUGUGAAGAAGGCCUGCGGGUUGUAAAGCACUUCUAUCAGGAAAGAACCUGCCUGGGACUAAUAAGCCCAGGCACUGACGGUACAUGAGGAAUACGCACCGGCUAACUACGUGCCAGCAGCCGCGGUAAUACGUAGGGUGCAAGCGUUAAUCGGAAUUACUGGGCGUAAAGCGUGCGCAGGCGGUUUUGUAAGACAGGCGUGAAAUCCCCGGGCUCAACCUGGGAAUUGCGCUUGUGACUGCAAGGCUGGAGUGCGGCAGAGGGGGAUGGAAUUCCGCGUGUAGCAGUGAAAUGCGUAGAUAUGCGGAGGAACACCGAUGGCGAAGGCAAUCCCCUGGGCCUGCACUGACGCUCAUGCACGAAAGCGUGGGGAGCAA
This 425-nucleotide ribosomal RNA is filed under the name uncultured bacterium. RNAcentral describes it as "bacterial SSU rRNA". It matches the Rfam family "Bacterial small subunit ribosomal RNA", at positions 355 to 771 of the family's 1533-position model. The record is from RNAcentral.